GGGCGUGUGGUCUAGUGGUAUGAUUCUCGCUUUGGGCGACUGUUCAGUACACUGAACGGAACAUCACUAAGCAUGCGAGAGGCCCUGGGUUCAAUUCCCAGCUCGCCCC
Hyphopichia burtonii NRRL Y-1933 is the source of this 109-nucleotide transfer RNA. It matches the Rfam family "tRNA". From Rfam's summary of the family: Transfer RNA (tRNA) molecules are approximately 80 nucleotides in length. NCBI's taxonomy places the organism in Eukaryota, Fungi, Ascomycota, Pichiomycetes, Serinales, Debaryomycetaceae. The record is from Rfam.